This 64-nucleotide transfer RNA is filed under the name Anthaxia chinensis. RNAcentral describes it as "tRNA-Ala". Lineage: Eukaryota; Metazoa; Arthropoda; Insecta; Coleoptera; Buprestidae. The record is from RNAcentral.
AGGAUAAAAGUUUUAAACAUUUAAUUUGCACUUAAAAAAUACUGAUUUACAUCAGUUUAUCUUA